Astyanax mexicanus (Mexican tetra) is the source of this 121-nucleotide ribosomal RNA. NCBI's taxonomy places the organism in Eukaryota, Metazoa, Chordata, Actinopteri, Characiformes, Acestrorhamphidae. The record is from Ensembl.
GCUUACGGUCACACUACCCCCUGAGAACGCCCGAUCUCGUCUGAUCUCGGAAGCUAAGCAGGGUUUGGCCUGGUUAGUACUUGGAUGGGAGACCACCUGGGAAUACCAGGUGCUGUAAGCU